UAAUACGAAGGGGGCUAGCGUUGCUCGGAAUUACUGGGCGUAAAGGGCGCGUAGGCGGCUCUGUUAGUCAGGCGUGAAAUUCCUGGGCUCAACCUGGGGACUGCGCUUGAUACGGCAGGGCUAGAGUGUGGAAGAGGGUCGUGGAAUUCCCAGUGUAGAGGUGAAAUUCGUAGAUAUUGGGAAGAACACCGGUGGCGAAGGCGGCGACCUGGUCCAUUACUGACGCUGAGGCGCGACAGCGUGGGGAGCAAACAGGAUUAGAUACCCUGGUAGUCCACGCCGUAAACGAUGUGCGCUGGAUGUUGGGGCUCCUAGAGCCUCAGUGUCGUAGCUAACGCGGUAAGCGCACCGCCUGGGGAGUACGGCCGCAAGGUUG
This 376-nucleotide ribosomal RNA is filed under the name uncultured bacterium. RNAcentral describes it as "bacterial SSU rRNA". It matches the Rfam family "Bacterial small subunit ribosomal RNA", at positions 521 to 896 of the family's 1533-position model. The record is from RNAcentral.